RNAcentral lists this transfer RNA (72 nucleotides) under Marmota monax (woodchuck). It matches the Rfam family "tRNA". From Rfam's summary of the family: Transfer RNA (tRNA) molecules are approximately 80 nucleotides in length. Lineage: Eukaryota; Metazoa; Chordata; Mammalia; Rodentia; Sciuridae. The record is from Rfam by way of RNAcentral. RNAcentral also lists the same sequence under 1 other name.
GGGGUUAUAGCUCAGUUGGUAGAGUGCUUGCCUCGAAUGCCAAGGCCCUGGGUUCAAUACCCAGCAAACACA